GACGAACCGUGCGAACGUUGUUCGGAAUCACUGGGCUUAAAGGGCGCGUAGGCGGCUUACCAAGUCCGGGGUGAAAUCUUUCGGCUCAACCGGAAAAGUGCCUUGGAUACUGGUAAGCUGGAGGGAGGUAGGGGCAUGUGGAACUUCCGGUGGAGCGGUGAAAUGCGUUGAUAUCGGAAGGAACGCCGGUGGCGAAAGCGACGUGCUGGACCUCUUCUGACGCUGAGGCGCGAAAGCUAGGGGAG
RNAcentral lists this ribosomal RNA (245 nucleotides) under uncultured bacterium. RNAcentral's name for it is "partial 16S ribosomal RNA". It matches the Rfam family "Bacterial small subunit ribosomal RNA", at positions 524 to 768 of the family's 1533-position model. The record is from RNAcentral.